Cynoglossus semilaevis (tongue sole) is the source of this 506-nucleotide long non-coding RNA. RefSeq lists it as uncharacterized. The record is from RefSeq and is a predicted model, not a curated record. NCBI's taxonomy places the organism in Eukaryota, Metazoa, Chordata, Actinopteri, Pleuronectiformes, Cynoglossidae. The transcript has 3 exons.
UGAAUCCAGCAUUUAACUUCAUUUAACACUGAACUUAACGUUUAAGCUGAGUAAUAUCACGCAGUAAAAAGUCUGUUCUUAUCAGCGUAUCUUAUGUCUCUGUAUCCAGACAGCGUUACCAGUCACUGCUGGAGCGAAUCCCCCGCCGUCUGAAGGCCCUUCACACUGAGGCUUUGGCACAGCGAGCACUGGAUCGCAGGCUCACUGAAGAGAUCCAUCACAUCAAGGAUAACUUCCAGCAACUCAGCAUGGAACUGUCCAGGAUCAGAGACCACGAUGUGUUUGUUUCCCAGCAAACAGAACUUGCUCAUGAGCACCUAACCGACGAGCUUCAACAAGCACAAACCAGCUCAGAUGUGGUCCAGGGCUACCAUGAGCUGUAUGAGCUACAGAGAAGUCGCCUCGAAGCUCAGCUCCUCCAGACGACAGCGGAGAGAGAUUCCUGGAGUCAGCUGACCUACAGCCUCGCCCUCAAGGUGACGGAAAAAAUAUUGUGAUAUUUUUAU